UCAAGAAACUUCCACAAUGGGCGAAAGCCUGAUGGAGCGACGUCGCGUGAUGGACGAAGUGCUUCGGCACGUAAACAUCUUUUAUGUGGGAUGAAAUUAUUGACAGUACCACAUGAAUAAGGGGCUCCUAACUCUGUGCCAGCAGGAGCGGUAAUACAGAGGUCCCAAGCGUUAUCCGGAAUCACUGGGCGUAAAGGGUGUCGAGGCGGUUGUAUUAGUCGUUCGUAAAAUCUACGAGCUUAACUUGUAGGCGGCGAACGAAACGGUACGACUUGAGGUUUGGAGAGGUGCGUGGAACUCACGGUGUAGGGGUGAAAUCCGUUGAUAUCGUGGGGAACACCAAAGGCGAAGGCAGCGCACUGGCCAAAAUCUGACGCUCACACACGAAAGCUAGGGUAGCGAAGAGGAUUAGAUACCCGUGUAGUCCCUGAGCGGGCUGGCAAGGCGCAU
This 450-nucleotide ribosomal RNA is filed under the name uncultured bacterium. RNAcentral's name for it is "bacterial SSU rRNA". It matches the Rfam family "Bacterial small subunit ribosomal RNA", at positions 355 to 825 of the family's 1533-position model. The record is from RNAcentral.